This 268-nucleotide ribosomal RNA is filed under the name Escherichia coli. RNAcentral describes it as "partial 16S ribosomal RNA". It matches the Rfam family "Bacterial small subunit ribosomal RNA", at positions 504 to 771 of the family's 1533-position model. The record is from RNAcentral. Lineage: Bacteria; Pseudomonadati; Pseudomonadota; Gammaproteobacteria; Enterobacterales; Enterobacteriaceae.
CGUGCCAGCAGCCGCGGUAAUACGGAGGGUGCAAGCGUUAAUCGGAAUUACUGGGCGUAAAGCGCACGCAGGCGGUUUGUUAAGUCAGAUGUGAAAUCCCCGGGCUCAACCUGGGAACUGCAUCUGAUACUGGCAAGCUUGAGUCUCGUAGAGGGGGGUAGAAUUCCAGGUGUAGCGGUGAAAUGCGUAGAGAUCUGGAGGAAUACCGGUGGCGAAGGCGGCCCCCUGGACGAAGACUGACGCUCAGGUGCGAAAGCGUGGGGAGCAA